Molecule: long non-coding RNA, 293 nt
Filed under: Bos taurus (domestic cattle)
Lineage: Eukaryota; Metazoa; Chordata; Mammalia; Artiodactyla; Bovidae
Description: long non-coding RNA NONBTAT022437
Source: RNAcentral
ACAAUUUGGAUGUGGGUACAAAUCAAAAGUGAAAAGCUUGUGUAGACUCAUCAUUAACAAUGAGGUCAGAAGACUUGCAGAUGGAGGUCAUCCUGGGAAGACAUUUACCUUUCAAAUUCAGGUGAGGUAUAAACUAUAAAUAUCAUCUACAUGUUCAUCCAUGUAUGGUAUGUCCACCACAUUCUUUGCUUUAGGGCUGGUGUUUCUCUUGACUGGUCAUGCCUGGUUGUGUCUCUACCUUAGCAGUUAAGUAUUUUGAACAUUACCCAACUGAUACAUUGUGAACACUCAUU